CUGAAAGGCAGGAGUGCCCGCAAGGGAGCGCGGAGACAGGUGGUGCAUGGCUGUCGUCAGCUCGUGUCGUGAGAUGUUGGGUUAAGUCCCGCAACGAGCGCAACCCUCACCCCUUGUUGCCACCAGGUAAUGCUGGGCACUCUAGGGGAACUGCCCCGGUCAACGGGGAGGAAGGCGGGGAUGACGUCAAGUCAUCAUGCCCCUUACGUCCUGGGCUACACACGUGCUACAAUGGCCGGUACAAAGGGAUGCGACACCGCGAGGUAGAGCUAAACCCAAAAAGCCGGUCUAAGUUCAGAUUGGAGUCUGCAACUCGACUCCAUGAAGGAGGAAUCGCUAGUAAUCGCGUAUCAGCACGACGCGGUGAAUACGUUCCCGGGCCUUGUACACACCGCCCGUCACACCACGAAAGCCAG
RNAcentral lists this ribosomal RNA (416 nucleotides) under uncultured Methylomirabilota bacterium. RNAcentral's name for it is "bacterial SSU rRNA". It matches the Rfam family "Bacterial small subunit ribosomal RNA", at positions 1001 to 1414 of the family's 1533-position model. Lineage: Bacteria; Methylomirabilota (SeqCode). The record is from RNAcentral.